CCGACACGACCGUACCGCAAACCGACACUGGUGCGCGAGAUGAGUAUUCUCAGGCGCUUGAGAGAACUCGGGAGAAGGAACUCGGCAAAUUGACACCGUAACUUCGGAAGAAGGUGUGCCUUUAGUAGGUGAACCAUUUACUUGGGGAGCCCAAUGAGGUUGCAAAAAAUCGGUGGCUGCGACUGUUUAAUAAAAACACAGCACUCUGCAAACACGAAAGUGGACGUAUAGGGUGUGACGCCUGCCCGGUGCUGGAAGAUUAAGUGAUGGGGUGCAAGCUCUUGAUCGAAGUCCCAGUAAACGGCGGCCGUAACAAUAACGGUCCUAAGGUAGCGAAAUUCCUUGUCGGGUAAGUUCCGACCUGCACGAAUGGCGUAACGAUGGCCACACUGUCUCCUCCCGAGACUCAGCGAAGUUGAAAUGUUUGUGAUGAUGCAAUCUCCCCGCGGAAAGACGGAAAGACCCCAUGAACCUUUACUGUAGCUUUGUAUUGGACUUUGAACGGAUCUGUGUAGGAUAGGUGGGAGGCUUUGAAGCAGGGUCGCUAGAUCUUGUGGAGCCAACGUUGAAAUACCACCCUGGUGCGUUUGAGGUUCUAACCUAGGCCCGUUAUCCGGGCCGGGGACAGUGCAUGGUAGGCAGUUUGACUGGGGCGGUCUCCUCCCAAAGUGUAACGGAGGAGUUCGAAGGUACGCUAGUUACGGUCGGACAUCGUGACGAUAGUGCAAUGGCAUAAGCGUGCUUAACUGCGAGACUGACAAGUCGAGCAGAUGCGAAAGCAGGACAUAGUGAUCCGGUGGUUCUGUAUGGAAGGGCCAUCGCUCAACGGAUAAAAGGUACUCUGGGGAUAACAGGCUGAUACCGCCCAAGAGUUCAUAUCGACGGCGGUGUUUGGCACCUCGAUGUCGGCUCAUCUCAUCCUGGGGCUGUAGCCGGUCCCAAGGGUAUGGCUGUUCGCCAUUUAAAGAGGUACGUGAGCUGGGUUUAAAACGUCGUGAGACAGUUUGGUCCCUAUCUUCCGUGGGCGCUGCAGAUUUGAGGAAGCCUGCUCCUAGUACGAGAGGACCGGAGUGGACGCACCUCUGGUGUACCUGUUGUCACGCCAGUGGCAUUGCAGGGUAGCUAAGUGCGGAAGAGAUAACCGCUGAAAGCAUCUAAGCGGGAAACUCGUUUCAAGAUGAGAUCUGCCGGGGCCUUGAGCCCCCUGAAGAGUCGUUCUAGACCAGGACGUUGAUAGGUCAGGUGUGGAAGCGCAGUAAUGCGUUAAGCUAACUGAUACUAAUUGCUCGUGCGGCUUGAUC
This 1301-nucleotide ribosomal RNA is filed under the name metagenome. RNAcentral's name for it is "bacterial LSU rRNA". It matches the Rfam family "Bacterial large subunit ribosomal RNA", at positions 1633 to 2925 of the family's 2925-position model. The record is from RNAcentral.